Molecule: ribosomal RNA, 204 nt
Filed under: uncultured bacterium
Lineage: Bacteria
Description: partial 16S ribosomal RNA
Rfam family: Bacterial small subunit ribosomal RNA
Source: RNAcentral
UGCGUAGGCGGGUCCGUAAGUCAGUGGUGAAAUCCAGCAGCUCAACUGUUGAAUUGCCAUUGAUACUGCGGGUCUUGAGUGGGAUCGAGGUGACAGGAAUGUGUGGUGUAGCGGUGAAAUGCAUAGAUAUCACACAGAACACCGAUUGCGAAGGCAAGUCACUAGGUUUCAACUGAGCUGAGGCACGAAGCGUGGGAUCAAACA